Molecule: ribosomal RNA, 253 nt
Filed under: uncultured bacterium
Lineage: Bacteria
Description: partial 16S ribosomal RNA
Rfam family: Bacterial small subunit ribosomal RNA
Source: RNAcentral
UACGGAGGGGGCGAGCGUUAUUCGGAAUUAUUGGGCGUAAAGCGCGCGCAGGCGGUUUCUUAAGUCUGAUGUGAAAGCCCACGGCUCAACCGUGGAGGGUCAUUGGAAACUGGGGAACUUGAGUGCAGAAGAGAAAAGCGGAAUUCCACGUGUAGCGGUGAAAUGCGCAGAUAUCGGGAAGAACACCCGUGGCGAAGGCGGCUCUCUGGGACGGUACUGACGCUGAGACGCGAAAGCGUGGGGAGCGAACAGG